GAUGAAGAACGUAGCGAAAUGCGAUAAGUAGUGUGAAUUGCAGAAUUCAGUGAAUCAUCGAAUCUUUGAACGCACAUUGCGCCCCUUGGUAUUCCAUGGGCAUGCCUGUUCGAGCGUCAUUUGUACCCUCAAGCUUUGCUUGGUGUUGGGUGUUUGUCCCGCGUUGCGCGUGGACUCGCCUUAAAGCGAUUGGCAGCCGGCAUAUUGGCCUUGGAGCGCAGCACAUUUUGCGCUUCUAGUCAUGAAUGUUGGCGUCCAUUAAGCCUAUACAUUUGCUCUUGACCUCGGAUCAGGUAGGGAUACCCGCUGAACUUAAGCAUAUCAAUAAGCGGAGGA
RNAcentral lists this unclassified non-coding RNA (336 nucleotides) under soil metagenome. RNAcentral's name for it is "partial contains 5.8S ribosomal RNA, internal transcribed spacer 2, and large subunit ribosomal RNA". The stretch from base 1 to 119 matches the Rfam family "5.8S ribosomal RNA", at positions 35 to 154 of the family's 154-position model. The record is from RNAcentral.